GGAUGAUCAUCAGGAGAAGCAUUUGGUUAAAUCUGAAAAUGGAGAUGGAAAUGAGUCUGAUUCUUCAAAUUACUCUAAUGAUGAUGAUGAUGAUCAUAAUGAUCGGCUCGAGAGCAAACCUAGCUCUUAUAACCCUGCUUGGCCUCAGAGUUAUAGGCAAUCUAUGGACAUAUACAGUAGUGUUCCCUCACCAAGUCUUACCUUCCUUGGAACACCUUCGUUAACACGUUUAGGCAGCUCAUUUCUUGCCUCAUCACUCACAAGGAGACACACUCCUGAAG
Molecule: unclassified non-coding RNA, 281 nt
Filed under: Hevea brasiliensis (rubber tree)
Lineage: Eukaryota; Viridiplantae; Streptophyta; Magnoliopsida; Malpighiales; Euphorbiaceae
Source: RNAcentral